CUGAGCUGGUGAUGAUAUGAAGUUAUCCCUGUCUGAAAAAAGUACUUUCAUUUUGUGGAGUUGUAACUCUGAGGCUCAG
Small nucleolar RNA from Crocodylus porosus (Australian saltwater crocodile), 79 nucleotides. Ensembl annotates it as small nucleolar RNA, C/D box 1C. NCBI's taxonomy places the organism in Eukaryota, Metazoa, Chordata, Crocodylia, Crocodylidae. The record is from Ensembl.